CAAGAGUUCCUCUUAACGACUUGCGAAACAAGCUUUUAGGCCAUUACCACAUCAACAUACCAGAGUUCCAUUUACGUCCUGACUCAGGUUCUUCAUCUCCCCCACAAUGAAAGCAACUAGCCAAAACCAAAAUCCUUCCUUAUGACCUGGGAGUGUUCCACUCUUGCUACAAAGACAUCCACAGGAGGAGCUACAGCUGGGAUAUCCCUCCAAGUGAUCUGAAAUGGCUUCACAGACUGCCAUGCUGAGGACCCAAAGAAGGCUUAGCAGAUCAAAGGUGGGAUGAUGGAGAUUAGAGGAGGACUAAAGUGAAGAACCCCCAAGUGGCCAUUGUGAUUAUAAAUUUGUGCUCAAUACCACAUUUCAUGUGAGAAUUGAAAUGAUGAUCCAGCAUGCCAUUUAUUGUAAAGUAUUACAUAGAGGAAAGAAAUAAAAAUCAUUUAUCUGAA
This is a long non-coding RNA of Lemur catta (Ring-tailed lemur), 449 nucleotides long. RefSeq lists it as uncharacterized. The record is from RefSeq and is a predicted model, not a curated record. NCBI's taxonomy places the organism in Eukaryota, Metazoa, Chordata, Mammalia, Primates, Lemuridae. The transcript is spliced from 3 exons.